This 74-nucleotide transfer RNA is filed under the name Candidatus Hatepunaea meridiana. Its description in RNAcentral is "tRNA-Met". It matches the Rfam family "tRNA". From Rfam's summary of the family: Transfer RNA (tRNA) molecules are approximately 80 nucleotides in length. Their secondary structure includes four short double-helical elements and three loops (D, anti-codon, and T loops). Lineage: Bacteria; Pseudomonadati; Candidatus Electryoneota; Candidatus Electryoneia; Candidatus Hatepunaeales; Candidatus Hatepunaeaceae. The record is from RNAcentral.
CGCGGGGUGGAGCAGUCUGGUAGCUCGUUGGGCUCAUAACCCAAAGGCCGUAGGUUCAAAUCCUGCCCCCGCUA